This 68-nucleotide unclassified non-coding RNA is filed under the name Flavobacterium johnsoniae. Its description in RNAcentral is "Flavo-1 RNA". Lineage: Bacteria; Pseudomonadati; Bacteroidota; Flavobacteriia; Flavobacteriales; Flavobacteriaceae. The record is from RNAcentral.
AUCUAGCCCCGAUAGAGGAGGUAUCCUCGCAGAGAAGCGGAGAGAUAAAGCCGAAAGCGGGAACUGUG